This 201-nucleotide long non-coding RNA is filed under the name Elaeis guineensis (African oil palm). RNAcentral's name for it is "long non-coding RNA (EGUI_LNC040767)". Lineage: Eukaryota; Viridiplantae; Streptophyta; Magnoliopsida; Arecales; Arecaceae. The record is from RNAcentral.
UCUGGUAUGGCAUUCUGUCUACUGGUACUAGUCCCCACCUGAUUUGCUUGUGCAUUAUUUCUAGCUUGGAAUUCUCGUGGAGCAUUUGGCCUUGGUGGAAAACCCCUAGCUGGAGUGUUCCUAGGACAAUCCUUCUUUUGAUUAUCCAUUUGAUCACAUCGAAAACAUCCUUUAAAUCCCUGUCUAUAUUCUCCUGAAUGG